GCCGCUGUCGUACCCUGGGAAAGCCGGUGCAAGUCCGGCACUGACCCGCAACCGUCACAGUCGGAGCUCCUGGUGCGGC
RNAcentral lists this non-coding RNA (79 nucleotides) under Luteococcus japonicus. The record is from RNAcentral. Lineage: Bacteria; Bacillati; Actinomycetota; Actinomycetes; Propionibacteriales; Propionibacteriaceae. RNAcentral also lists the same sequence under 1 other name.